UAUUAAAUGUUAUAUAGUGUAGAACCGAAGC
Molecule: non-coding RNA, 31 nt
Filed under: Rattus norvegicus (Norway rat)
Lineage: Eukaryota; Metazoa; Chordata; Mammalia; Rodentia; Muridae
Source: RNAcentral